UACGUAGGCAGCGAGCGUUGUUCGGAAUUACUGGGCGUAAAGGGCUCGUAGGCGGCCAACUAAGUCAGACGUGAAAUCCCUCGGCUUAACCGGGGAACUGCGUCUGAUACUGGAUGGCUUGAGUUCGGGAGAGGGAUGCGGAAUUCCAGGUGUAGCGGUGAAAUGCGUAGAUAUCUGGAGGAACACCGGUGGCGAAGGCGGCAUCCUGGACCGAUACUGACGCUGAGGAGCGAAAGCCAGGGGAGCAAACGGG
RNAcentral lists this ribosomal RNA (253 nucleotides) under uncultured bacterium. RNAcentral describes it as "partial 16S ribosomal RNA". It matches the Rfam family "Bacterial small subunit ribosomal RNA", at positions 524 to 776 of the family's 1533-position model. The record is from RNAcentral.